Molecule: ribosomal RNA, 464 nt
Filed under: uncultured bacterium
Lineage: Bacteria
Description: partial 16S ribosomal RNA
Rfam family: Bacterial small subunit ribosomal RNA
Source: RNAcentral
CUACGGGCGGCAGCAGUGGGGAAUAUUGCACAAUGGGCGCAAGCCUGAUGCAGCCAUGCCGCGUGUAUGAAGAAGGCCUUCGGGUUGUAAAGUACUUUCAGCGGGGAGGAAGGGAGUAAAGUUAAUACCUUUGCUCAUUGACGUUACCCGCAGAAGAAGCACCGGCUAACUCCGUGCCAGCAGCCGCGGUAAUACGGAGGGUGCAAGCGUUAAUCGGAAUGACUGGGCGUAAAGCGCACGCAGGCGGUUUGUUAAGUCAGAUGUGAAAUCCCCGGGCUCAACCUGGGAACUGCAUCUAAUACUGGCAAGCUUGAGUCUCGUAGAGGGGGGUAGAAUUCCAGGUGUAGCGGUGAAAUGCGUAGAGAUCUGGAGGAAUACCGGUGGCGAAGGCGGCCCCCUGGACGAAGACUGACGCUCAGGUGCGAAAGCGUGGGGAGCAAACAGGAUUAGAUACCCGAGUAGUC